GAUGAAGAACGCAGCGAAAUGCGAUACGUAAUGUGAAUUGCAGAAUUCAGUGAAUCAUCGAAUCUUUGAACGCACAUUGCGCCUGCCAGCACUCUGGCAGGCAUGCCUGUUCGAGCGUUAUUUCAACCAUCAAGCCCUAGGCUUGCGUUGGAGCCCUGCGGCUGCCGCAGGCCCCUAAAAGCAGUGGCGGGCUCGCUAUCACACCGAGUGCAGUAGAUUACUCUUCGCUCAGGGCGUGUGGCGGGUUCCAGCCGUGAAACCCCCUACUUCUCAAGGUUGACCUCGGAUCAGGUAGGAAUACCCGCUGAACUUAAGCAUAUCAAUAAGCGGAGGA
RNAcentral lists this unclassified non-coding RNA (334 nucleotides) under soil metagenome. RNAcentral's name for it is "partial contains 5.8S ribosomal RNA, internal transcribed spacer 2, and large subunit ribosomal RNA". The stretch from base 1 to 120 matches the Rfam family "5.8S ribosomal RNA", at positions 35 to 154 of the family's 154-position model. The record is from RNAcentral.